Molecule: ribosomal RNA, 789 nt
Filed under: uncultured bacterium
Lineage: Bacteria
Description: bacterial SSU rRNA
Rfam family: Bacterial small subunit ribosomal RNA
Source: RNAcentral
ACACAUGCAAGUCGAGCGGUAGCACAGGGGAGCUUGCUCCCUGGGUGACGAGCGGCGGACGGGUGAGUAAUGUCUGGGAAACUGCCUGAUGGAGGGGGAUAACUACUGGAAACGGUAGCUAAUACCGCAUAACGUCGCAAGACCAAAGAGGGGGACCUUCGGGCCUCUUGCCAUCAGAUGUGCCCAGAUGGGAUUAGCUAGUAGGUGGGGUAAUGGCUCACCUAGGCGACGAUCCCUAGCUGGUCUGAGAGGAUGACCAGCCACACUGGAACUGAGACACGGUCCAGACUCCUACGGGAGGCAGCAGUGGGGAAUAUUGCACAAUGGGCGCAAGCCUGAUGCAGCCAUGCCGCGUGUGUGAAGAAGGCCUUCGGGUUGUAAAGCACUUUCAGCGAGGAGGAAGGUGGUGAACUUAAUACGUUCAUCAAUUGACGUUACUCGCAGAAGAAGCACCGGCUAACUCCGUGCCAGCAGCCGCGGUAAUACGGAGGGUGCAAGCGUUAAUCGGAAUUACUGGGCGUAAAGCGCACGCAGGCGGUUUGUUAAGUCAGAUGUGAAAUCCCCGGGCUCAACCUGGGAACUGCAUUUGAAACUGGCAAGCUAGAGUCUCGUAGAGGGGGGUAGAAUUUCCAGGUGUAGCGGUGAAAUGCGUAGAGAUCUGGAGGAAUACCGGUGGGCGAAGGCGGCCUCCUGGACGAGACUGACGCUCAGGUGCGAAAGCGGUGGGGGGAGCAAACAGGAUUAGAUUACCCUGGUAGUCCACGCCUUGUAACGAUGUCGAUUUGGAAG